CUCGCCUUCUGCCAGCGGUCCGGCGGAUCCCAGUUCUGGCAAUCCAUCAUUCAGCUCCUUCCAGUCCUCCGCGUCGGGACCUCGAUUGUGGUUGGAUCUGGCACCGACACGCUGUUCUGGUUCGAUAGAUGGGCUGGGGACUCCCCCUUCGCGGCUCGCUUCCCUGAUCUGUUCUCCAUCGCGGUAGAUCCACGGAUUUCAGUAGCGGUAGCCCUUAUUGACUUAGGGCACCUCGCGUUCCGGAGACCUUUUGGACCGGCGGAAAAUGAUGCGUGGCAGGACUUGCUUGACUGCAUUGCUUUGCACGAGCCGGAUCUGGAGAUUGGAGAGGACCACACCAGGUGGCGGCUAGAGCCAUCUGGACAAUUCUCCUCUAAAUCUCUCUACCAGGCCAUAGCCCCUUCACCGGGCCCUGAGGCUCUCAUCGCCAUCUGGGAAGAUUAG
RNAcentral lists this ribosomal RNA (444 nucleotides) under Triticum aestivum (bread wheat). RNAcentral describes it as "partial small subunit ribosomal RNA". Lineage: Eukaryota; Viridiplantae; Streptophyta; Magnoliopsida; Poales; Poaceae. The record is from RNAcentral.